This 1950-nucleotide long non-coding RNA is filed under the name Homo sapiens (human). Its description in RNAcentral is "PREDICTED lncRNA (TCONS_00029687)". Lineage: Eukaryota; Metazoa; Chordata; Mammalia; Primates; Hominidae. The record is from RNAcentral.
GGGCUCCCCGGCUUCCUGCCUCUCUGAAUUCCUCCUCCAGACCCUCAAGGCUCCCUGCUCAUUCCCUCUGGGGUCCUGAGGUCUCCAAGGGCCACUCUGGCUUCCCCCCUGCAGACCCACCCUCCUAGGGGAACAGGGUGACCCCACACAGACACUGAUGGGACAAGAGAACCAGCCCUGCAGAAAGCCUCCAGCGUGUCCAUGGGCCCAGUGCCUGGCGUGUCCUCCCUGGGAGCUUGCUGGACGCAUGACCAGGAUUCUGGGAGGGCAGAGGACAGACCACAGGCACCCAGGAUAACUCAGUACACAUGGGUUCUCAGCUUCCUGUUCACAGAGAAACCUCAGACAAGAAGCACGUCGCCCAUUUCUCAUCAAGGCCAACCCCAGACCACGAGAGCGCUUUCUCUGCGUCAGCCCCAGCACCCCAGCGCCCCUGCCUCCGGGCGCCCGCGGCCUCCGCACUCCAGUGGCCCAGACCUGGCUGAGGCAGCUCCCGUGGUAGAUCAAGCCUCACAGGCGGCUGGAAGAGCCAGUUCUGGGCUGGGCCUGUGGGAACAGGCGUCUGUUAGUCAGGGUUUCAGGAAUGCGGCCUUCGAAGCCUGAAGCGGGGAAUGGCGGCUCUGGGCCCUCAAGGGGCAGGCGGUGAGCCUGGGAGGCCAGGCCGGGCUGACCCAAGGGGAGAGGACCCUCUCCGCCCACUGCCGCUGGCCCUGGGCAGGUCUAGAGCCUGGGGGUCUCCAGAGGCACAAUCCCUUAUCUCCGGGAGAAGGCAGAGGGCAGAGGCAGGAAACAAAUCUCCUGUCAAAAUUCCUAAUUAAAAUACUAAGUAAGUGAUGGCUCCAGGCUGAAACACCGGACACUGAGAGAAUAAGGGAAAAUCAGCCCCGACAGCCAGGGCUAACAAGACGGUUAAUUACAGCCCGAGAAGAACGUUAACAGUAUUAAUUCUAACCACAAAGGAGGAAAAGAGAAGACCGCCUAAGAAGGAGAAGGAGGGUCCCUUUCCCAGAUGAGGCUGCCCUAACCACUGGGACCUCGGCCCCUCCCAGGCCUGAGGGAGCCCAGCUCUGCCUGGCCCCACCCAUCUCACACCAGCCCUGCCUGACCCGCCCACCUCACCCCAACCCUGGCUGGCCCCGCCCACCCUUGCCUCAGCCCUGCCCGGCCCCUCCCACCCUUGCCCAGCCCCUGCUUGGCCCCUCCCACUCGUCCCAACCCUUCGUGUCACCGCCAACCCUUGCCCCAGUCCGGCCCGGCCCCUCCCACCCUUGCCCCAGCCCUGCCUGGCCCCUCCCACCCUUGCCCCAGUCCGGCCCGGCCCCUCCCACCCUUGCCCCAGUCCUGCCCGGCCCCUCCCACCCUUGCCCCAGUCCUGCCCGGCCCCUCCCACCCUUGCCCCAGCCCUGCCCGGCCCCUCCCACCCUUGCCCCAGUCCUGCCCGGCCCCUCCCACCCUUGCCCCAGUCCUGCCCGGCCCCUCCCACCCUUGCCCCAGUCCUGCCCGGCCCCUCCCACCCUUGCCCCAGUCCUGCCCGGCCCCUCCCACCCUUGCCCCAGUCCGGCCUGGCCCCUCCCACCCUUGCCCCAGUCCGGCCUGGCCCCUCCCACCCUUGCCCCAGUCCGGCCUGGCCCCUCCCACCCUUGCCCAGCCCCUGCUUGGCCCCUCCCACUCGUCCCAACCCUUCGUGUCACCGCCAACCCUUGCCCCAGUCCUGCCCGGCCCCUCCCACCCUUGCCCCAGUCCUGCCCGGCCCCUCCCACCCUUGCCCCAGUCCGGCCUGGCCCCUCCCACCCUUGCCCCAGUCCGGCCUGGCCCCUCCCACCCUUGCCCCAGCCCCUGCCUGGUCCUGCCCACCUCACCCCAGCACUUCCUAUGGGACUCACGCCUUUGUCUCGGGCUUUUGGUUUUCAAAAUAAAUUAUAAGUUUUAAUAAAAUAAAGUACUAGAAAA